AUUAAGUUCCCUCUGUAUGCAGAAUAUUGUGCAACAUGGUAAUGGGUAGUACAAUGGAUCUGAGUGUGUAGACCUGGUACAAUAGAGCUUAUAGGCUAAUGGAAGACAGGAAGAAACAACAGGACCACAUAAAACUGGAAUGCAGAUGGGAUCUGUGCUACUUACACUAGCCAUGGGAUGAUUAGAACAAGAUAAGAGACAUGAGGAAGACUUCUUGAAGGAGGUCCUCAAGCCGUGUUUUGGAAAAGAGAACUCAAGAUCUAGCAGGGAGAAGGGAGCAAGAGCAGACUUUGAGUCUUUGCUUCAGAUGCAGAACAAGAUGUGGCAACUUGUUGUGGAGAACCGGGUCUCUUGUGCCCGUGCUGUCUCUUUUUUCUGGUGGCUUUGUCAUUUGGAACAAUGCAUAGUGGACUGUAGGCUGAGAAACUGUGAGCUGAGGGCAAGUAGAGCUACUGCUGUCUGGUGCCACUGUAAUGCUUUCUCCUCCUCUGAGUUCAUCCUGGAAACAUUUUCUCCCAUAAGACACGCACAGGUCUUACGUUUACAUGUUUCCCUGAAAGAAAUUUGAUUCCAUUGAUGGGAUGACAAGGAAGACUAGAGAAACCUAAACCUAGGUGCUGCCACUGGGACAAAGAAUAGGAACCAGACACAGUGCUGUUUUAGGGUGGGGCAGAAUUAUGCUGAGGGAAAAGUUAUUAUCACUCUUUAAGGCCAAGGAAGCCACAAUUUUUAAAGAAGCUUCUAGAAAUGCUACCUAAUAGAAAAGAAAGAUAAACUUCUGUAAGGAAUUUCGUUCUUUUCAGGAUUCACAAUCUGAAAUGUAGAAGCUCAUUCCUUUAUGGUUCUCAUAGAUAUUUAGUGUGACUGAGGGGUCAGUGGAUCCAUAGCACUCGGGCCAGGCUUCUCCCGAGUCCCUUUCUUCGGCACAGAGGGAGUGACUCACAGAUCCUCUACCCCCAAAGGCGUUGUUUUCUCAUCUCAACAAGAAUCCUGCGGCUGUCAUUUUAUCAGCACACGUCACUAGCUUCUCAAGUGAGACUACUCUUAAGUGAUCUGUGUUUGAAGAGUGCCUUUCCCUUUCUCUUCCGUAACUAAGAGGAUGAAAAAGUACACUCACUCCCUGUAUAAAAGCUGUGUGUUGUGAGCAGUCAUCUUGCCUGGCUGAGAACUCUAGGAUCAUUUUCUCUGCUCUCCGUUAGGCUGACACUCAUAGCCAGUCCUUCUGUUUAUUAGCCCUCUGAAUCUUAAUACUUUUGCUUUCAUUAUAACAUAAGUCACAUUCUUCUUGCAUCUGCCACUGCAUUUUCCAAAAGGGUUGUGUCAAGGGAAAUUCAACACUCACCUUUCUCAUUAUUUGCCCACCAGCUUGCUCACUCAUCAAAAGACCAGAGUUAUUUGAUACUUCAGAAGAGUAUUUUCCCCCUUAGAUGAUGUGUCAAGGGAAGGGGAGCUGGCCCCAGUGUCAGGUGACGGAAUUUUCUUCACAUUUCUGCUGUUGACUCAAUAAAUGUCCUUGGGCAAGUCA
This is a long non-coding RNA of Piliocolobus tephrosceles (Ugandan red Colobus), 1525 nucleotides long. RefSeq lists it as uncharacterized. NCBI's taxonomy places the organism in Eukaryota, Metazoa, Chordata, Mammalia, Primates, Cercopithecidae. The transcript is spliced from 4 exons. The record is from RefSeq and is a predicted model, not a curated record.